AUCUAGACGACGAGUCCCAAAUAGGACGAAACGCGCCUCUGGAU
Schistosoma haematobium is the source of this 44-nucleotide non-coding RNA. The record is from Rfam. Lineage: Eukaryota; Metazoa; Platyhelminthes; Trematoda; Strigeidida; Schistosomatidae.